UACGUAGGGUGCGAGCGUUAUUCGGAAUUACUGGGCGUAAAGUGUGCGCAGGUGGCUUCGCAAGUCGAGUGUGAAAUCCCCGGGCUUAACCUGGGAAUUGCGCUUGAAACUACGGAGCUGGAGUGUGGCAGAGGAAGGUGGAAUUCCACGUGUAGCGGUGAAAUGCGUAGAGAUGUGGAGGAACACCGAUGGCGAAGGCAGCCCCCUGGGCUAACACUGACGCUCAGGCACGAAAGCGUGGGGAGCAAACAGG
RNAcentral lists this ribosomal RNA (253 nucleotides) under uncultured bacterium. RNAcentral describes it as "partial 16S ribosomal RNA". It matches the Rfam family "Bacterial small subunit ribosomal RNA", at positions 524 to 776 of the family's 1533-position model. The record is from RNAcentral.